RNAcentral lists this long non-coding RNA (2880 nucleotides) under Homo sapiens (human). RNAcentral's name for it is "non-protein coding lnc-DSCAML1-1:5". The record is from RNAcentral. Lineage: Eukaryota; Metazoa; Chordata; Mammalia; Primates; Hominidae.
UUUUAACCAGGAGAAGUGGGAAAUGGAUCCCCCAAAACCUCAUACUGUAGCACUUGGAGAUUGACAAUGCCCACCAGCGUGUUAAAGCCUGCAGUAAAAAACAAAAACAAAAACAACUCCCACAAAAACCUAUUUACCUUUGAUUAUUCCACUGUUUUCCAAACCUAUUUGACCAUAGAUCAGUUUUUGCACCUUACCUAUUACCUUCUCAUGAAACACUUGUGAAAUGCUAUGUUAGAUCUUUUUCUGUUUUCUGCUGGAUUUAUCAAAAAUAAGGUCAAGUUUGGUAAAGAUGCUGGGUUUCAAUGUCAUUGUGGCCUGAAAUGGGAACCUUAUUGCUGCAUUCUUAGCUGAGCUCUGCCACCCUCACUGGGGCUGGGCUAGGACCUUAGAUGACAUUCUGAGUCACCCAUUGUGUAAGUAAGUGCCAUUUGACCCAGGCAACACCCCAUUUCCCAACUUUCACCAAAUGAUGAAUGGGAUCAUGUUUUCUCUCAAAUAAUCCACAUCAGGAUUACAGGCCAAGGAGGCCAGUUCAGUAGAAGUUCGUGGGAUAGUGGUCCAGAGUGAUUGGCAUGUCAGCCCAGGAAAUCCAACAAAACGUGCAUGGCCUGUGAACCAUAUAAAUACAUUCCACCAAUCCCAAGCCAGAGUCAGAUCCCCCCAAAAUGUUCACCAGACCCACCGAGAAGCCAGAGCAGAAAAGGGUAGCAGCUGUGAUUGACAGUAGUUAAACUCUAUUAUUCUACAGUGUUUUCAUAUCUGACCAUGUGAACACAUUACUAGGGCCCUAAAGGAAUCUGAAGCUUGAGCUGUGUAAGUGUCAUGGUAUUAAACAUCCCAAAUAUGCCUCUGGGACUCCUCUGACUUUGUGUCUUCAUCUAUAUAAUGAUCAAAACAAUUCUGGCAUAUGUAUCCAGAUCCUUUUAGGUGAGAAUCAGAAAUGGACGAAAACAUAAAGCCUCUGGAACCUAGAGGCGCUGCCUACAAGGUCAAGAUGACAACUGUGAAGACCACAGUGAUGCGGGCUCAGCAGGAACUGCUGAGACUUCUUUGGUUUUAGGGGUCAGCACUCCUGCGGGGUCUAAUGUCCUGCCAAAUGCUCACUCUUAGAGACGAGAAACUCCAAUACGAGAACUUUCAAGCUUAAGGCUUUGAUCCUAGUUAAGGGAUUUCCAUACCUUCCACCCCACUGCUCCCCAGAGAGAAAUGUGACAAUGAGCUUCAGCUCUGUCGAAUCCGGACUACAUGGAACCUCUCUGGGUUGGCUUCUCAACCGAUUUCAGAGUUGUGAGCUGAGAAAGAACAGCAGGAGAGAGGCCACAGUUAUUCAGGGGACUCCUGCCUUGCUGGGGGCUUCCGCAGCCCCUGACCAACCAUCCUGGUGUCACUGCUGAGACAGCAGCCUGAACAAGGGCAAUGGGACCCCAGAGACUGCAUCUGUACAGGCGGAGCCCCAGGGCUUUAGACCCUUUGCUCCAGUGAUCUUAGAGCCAUAAUAUUAUCAUCCAAAAUGAUGAGAGAGUAAGUGGCAAGCAUACCUAGACAUCUUCUGAGCCCAGCAGACAGAAUUUUGGUUUAAGGAGAACCUGGGUAGUAUAAUGACACAUAAUAUUUUUUUAUAUAUAGGCAUCACAGUCUAUGAAUUGUACUGAUUCAUCUCAUCUCAAGAAGAUGGUAUUUUAGAUGUAUGUGUAUAUAUUUGAAGCCAAAACUGUUUAUUUUGUGUAAUUUUUUGUGCCUAUUAGUUUCUGAAUAUCUGUGCAUAAAAGCUUCUGUUUCUCUGCCUGCACACAUUUGUGGGUACACACUAUACACCUAUGUGGGGUAGGAGGGGGGAAUGGGCAUAUUUGUUUGCAUUUACCUUGUGUUUGGUCCUAGGAAGGGAUCUUGGUGAUCAUUCCAGCCCAGCUCUUUCACCUCAAUGGUGAAGAAACUGAGGUCCAGAAAGGCAAGGUGACUUGUCACAGGUAACACAGCUGGCUAUGGAGACAGAGGUGACACAAGAACCUAGGAUUUCUGAUUUGUAGAUGAGAACUCUUUCUAUAAUAUUAAAAUCAAUUAUAAAUUUUGGGGAGGGAAGCAGGGAGAUCCUUGUUUUUUCCUCCCCCAACUGAUAAGUAAGUACUAAGAAGGUCAAUCUUGAAUUAGCUAUAUAAUACCAAAAGUUAAGUUUUUCACACAGACCUGGUUCAGUAUUGAUUCCUUUUAUGAAAACCCUGUUUAUACUCAAGUUGUCAAAGAAUUCCAGAGGGCAUAUGAAGCCAUUGUUAAAAUAAUUUUAUGCCUUUGUUUUUGAAGAAAAGUGAUGGUUGCACAUCGUGAAUGUAUUUAAUGCCACAGAAUAGUACACUUCAAAUGGUUGAAAUGGUAAAUUUUAUGUUAUGUACAUUUUAACAUAUUAAAAAACACACUUUUCAAAAUUUAGUUAAAAUUUCUAGGGAUAUUUUGGCAAAACCUGGGAGUGAGGAGUCCCAAUUCUCCCAUGUGAACUUAGGCCGCACAUUUCGAGGAAGUAAAUUUUCUUCCUCUGGCAAAUGCAGCUAGCCAGUGGACCCCUUCUCUCCCUCCAAACUUCGCACUCCACACCUUAGAGUCUGCCCAGGUACAGCCCAAUUGUCAGGGCAUACUCAAAGCAGCUUCCAUGACCCUGCAAAGGGAGCUACAGUCCUGGCUCAUAGGCCAUUCUCAGGGAUACCUGGAUCCCUUCUCUGGGUUCUAUGUAUCCUCUUAUUUUGGAAUUAAGACGAAAGGAGGGCUUUCCAACCAUAUUGACCUUUUACAGCAGACCUGGCUCAGCCAUGCCUGAGUCCCCAGUGCCUGAGCCAGUGCCUGACACAGCAGGUGCUCAACAUUCAUUUGGUCACUGAGAAGACGCCC